Molecule: ribosomal RNA, 468 nt
Filed under: uncultured bacterium
Lineage: Bacteria
Description: bacterial SSU rRNA
Rfam family: Bacterial small subunit ribosomal RNA
Source: RNAcentral
UGGGGAAUUUUGGACAAUGGGGGCAACCCUGAUCCAGCCAUGCCGCGUGAGUGAAGAAGGCCUUCGGGUUGUAAAGCUCUUUCGGCCGGGAAGAAAUCGUGUGGGCUAAUACCCUGCAUGGAUGACGGUACCGGAAUAAGAAGCACCGGCUAACUACGUGCCAGCAGCCGCGGUAAUACGUAGGGUGCGAGCGUUAAUCGGAAUUACUGGGCGUAAAGCGUGCGCAGGCGGUUUUUUAAGACAGGCGUGAAAUCCCCGGGCUUAACCUGGGAACUGCGCUUGUGACUGGAAGGCUAGAGUACGGCAGAGGGGGGUGGAAUUCCACGUGUAGCAGUGAAAUGCGUAGAGAUGUGGAGGAACACCGAUGGCGAAGGCAGCCCCCUGGGCCGAUACUGACGCUCAUGCACGAAAGCGUGGGGAGCAAACAGGAUUAGAUACCCUGGUAGUCCACGCCCUAAACGAUGUCAA